This 568-nucleotide ribosomal RNA is filed under the name Silverstoneia nubicola (Boquete rocket frog). RNAcentral's name for it is "partial 16S ribosomal RNA". It matches the Rfam family "Bacterial large subunit ribosomal RNA", at positions 1831 to 2597 of the family's 2925-position model. Lineage: Eukaryota; Metazoa; Chordata; Amphibia; Anura; Dendrobatidae. The record is from RNAcentral.
CGCCUCUUGUUUUUAAUAAGAGGUCCAGCCUGCCCAGUGACCCUGUUCAACGGCCGCGGUAUCCUAACCGUGCGAAGGUAGCGUAAUCACUUGUUCUUUAAAUGAGGACUAGUAUGAAUGGCCCCACGAAGGCUACACUGUCUCCUUUUCUUAAUCAAUGAAAUUAAUCUUCCCGUGAAGAAGCGGGAAUAUUCAUAUAAGACGAGAAGACCCUAUGGAGCUUUAAACUAUCGAAACAUUUGCUUCGCAUUUCUCACGCCCCUGGGCCUUUUUAAUUAUUCAAGCAUCUUUAUUUCAAGUUUUAGGUUGGGGUGACCACGGAGUAAAAUUUAACCUCCAUGAUGUAAGAGACUUCGCUCUUAGCCAAAAACCACUUUUUUAAGCACCAAUAAAUUGACUCUCAUUGACCCAAUUAUUUGAUCAACGAACCAAGUUACCCUAGGGAUAACAGCGCAAUCUACUUCAAGAGCCCAUAUCGACAAGUAGGUUUACGACCUCGAUGUUGGAUCAGGGUAUCCUAGUGGUGCAGCCGCUACUGAUGGUUCGUUUGUUCAACGAUUAAAACCCU